RNAcentral lists this ribosomal RNA (378 nucleotides) under Tubificoides fraseri. RNAcentral describes it as "partial 12S ribosomal RNA". It matches the Rfam family "Microsporidia small subunit ribosomal RNA", at positions 752 to 1217 of the family's 1311-position model. Lineage: Eukaryota; Metazoa; Annelida; Clitellata; Tubificida; Naididae. The record is from RNAcentral.
UCCCAAAAUUAAACCCUGCCGGGAACUACAAAUUUCCAUUUAAAACUCAAAGAUCUUGGCGGUGUCUUAUACACUCAGGGAAACCUGUCCCUUAAAUCGAUAAUCCACGAAUGUGCAAGCCCCCCUCGAAUUUUCAGCCUGUGUACUGCCGUCAUACGUAUGCCUCCGAGAGUAAGCAUGCAAAAAUAUAUCUACUUAAGUCAGGUCAAAGUGCAGCCUAUGGGGGGCCGGAGAUGGGUUACACUCCUAAUAUGGCCACCGAAAUUCCUCUUAAAAAACGAAAUGAAAGCUGGACUUGAUAGUAAUGAUAAAUACUAAGUUAUCAUGAAAUGGAAUCUAAGACAUGUACAUAUCGCCCGUCACUCUCAUCGAAAGACG